RNAcentral lists this ribosomal RNA (403 nucleotides) under uncultured bacterium. Its description in RNAcentral is "bacterial SSU rRNA". It matches the Rfam family "Bacterial small subunit ribosomal RNA", at positions 356 to 773 of the family's 1533-position model. The record is from RNAcentral.
GGGGAAUAUUGCGCAAUGGGGGGAACCCUGACGCAGCAACGCCGCGUGAGUGAAGAAGGUUUUCGGAUCGUAAAACUCUGUCAUCGGGGAAGAAGGAAGUGACGGUACCCGAGGAGGAAGCCCCGGCUAACUACGUGCCAGCAGCCGCGGUAAUACGUAGGGGGCGAGCGUUGUCCGGAAUUACUGGGCGUAAAGGGUGCGUAGGCGGCCAAUUAAGUCAGAUGUGAAAUACCUCGGCUCAACUGAGGGGUUGCAUAUGAAACUGGUAGGCUUGAGUGCAGGAGAGGAAAGUGGAAUUCCUAGUGUAGCGGUGAAAUGCGUAGAGAUUAGGAGGAACACCAGUGGCGAAGGCGGCUUUCUGGACUGUAACUGACGCUGAGGCACGAAAGCGUGGGUAGCGAAC